UUGCAGGGAAGGUACACAGAACA
Molecule: unclassified non-coding RNA, 23 nt
Filed under: Mus musculus (house mouse)
Lineage: Eukaryota; Metazoa; Chordata; Mammalia; Rodentia; Muridae
Description: oocyte_clustered_small_RNA7827
Source: RNAcentral